GAGUUUGAUCCUGGCUCAGAUUGAACGCUGGCGGUAGGCUUAACACAUGCAAGUCGUGCGAGAAAGUAUCUUCGGAUAUGAGUAGAGCGGCGGACGGGUGAGUAACGCGUAGGAAUCUACCUAGUAGAAGGGGAUAGCCCGGGGAAACCCGGAUUAAUACCGUAUACCUCCUUCGGGAGAAAGAAGGCCUCUCUUUGAAGCUUUCGCUAUUAGAUGAGCCUGCGUAAGAUUAGCUUGUUGGUGAGGUAAAGGCUCACCAAGGCGACGAUCUUUAGCUGGUCUGAGAGGACGAUCAGCCACAUUGGGACUGAGACACGGCCCAGACUCCUACGGGAGGCAGCAGUGGGGAAUAUUGGACAAUGGGCGCAAGCCUGAUCCAGCCAUACCGCGUGUGUGAAGAAGGCCUUCGGGUUGUAAAGCACUUUAAGCAGGGAGAAAAAGUUAUAAGUUAAUACCUUAUAACCGUGAUGUUACCUGCAGAAUAAGCACCGGCUAAUUCCGUGCCAGCAGCCGCGGUAAUACGGAAGGUGCAAGCGUUAAUCGGAAUUACUGGGCGUAAAGCGCGCGUAGGUGGUUUGUUAAGUUGGAUG
This 590-nucleotide ribosomal RNA is filed under the name uncultured Gammaproteobacteria bacterium. Its description in RNAcentral is "bacterial SSU rRNA". It matches the Rfam family "Bacterial small subunit ribosomal RNA", at positions 9 to 594 of the family's 1533-position model. Lineage: Bacteria; Pseudomonadati; Pseudomonadota; Gammaproteobacteria. The record is from RNAcentral.